Molecule: ribosomal RNA, 506 nt
Filed under: uncultured Pseudomonadota bacterium
Lineage: Bacteria; Pseudomonadati; Pseudomonadota
Description: bacterial SSU rRNA
Rfam family: Bacterial small subunit ribosomal RNA
Source: RNAcentral
GGCGGCGUGCUUAACACAUGCAAGUCGUGGGAGAACGGGAACCUUCGGGUUCCUCAGUAAACCGGCGCACGGGUGAGUAACACGUAGGUAACCUACCUCGAAGUCUGGGAUAACCUGUCGAAAGACAGGCUAAUACCGGGUAUGACCACGGAAGUUUCGGCUUCUGGGGUGAAAGAUGGCCUCUUCCUGAAAGCCAUCGCUCCGAGAUGGGCCUGCGCGUCAUUAGCUUGUUGGUGGGGUAAUGGCCUACCAAGGCGACGAUGACUAGCUGGUCUGAGAGGAUGAUCAGCCACACUGGGACUGAGACACGGCCCAGACUCCUACGGGAGGCAGCAGUGGGGAAUAUUGCGCAAUGGGGGAAACCCUGACGCAGCGACGCCGCGUGAGUGAUGAAGGCCCUCGGGUCGUAAAGCUCUGUCGGAAGGGAAGAAUGUUUGUCGGUCGAAUAGGCCGAUAGGCUGACGGUACCUUCAAAGGAAGCACCGGCUAACUCCGUGCCAGCAGCC